UACGUAGGGGGCAAGCGUUGUCCGGAUUUAUUGGGCGUAAAGAGCUCGUAGGCGGCUUGGCAAGUCGGGUGUGAAAACUUCAGGCUCAACCUGGAGCGGCCACUCGAUACUGCCAUGGCUUGAGUCCGGUAGGGGACCACGGAAUUCCUGGUGUAGCGGUGAAAUGCGCAGAUAUCAGGAGGAACACCAAUGGCGAAGGCAGCACUCUGGGACGGUACUGACGCUGAGACGCGAAAGCGUGGGGAGCAAACAGG
RNAcentral lists this ribosomal RNA (254 nucleotides) under uncultured bacterium. RNAcentral's name for it is "partial 16S ribosomal RNA". It matches the Rfam family "Bacterial small subunit ribosomal RNA", at positions 524 to 776 of the family's 1533-position model. The record is from RNAcentral.